This 949-nucleotide long non-coding RNA is filed under the name Ananas comosus (pineapple). Its description in RNAcentral is "long non-coding RNA (ACOM_LNC000766)". Lineage: Eukaryota; Viridiplantae; Streptophyta; Magnoliopsida; Poales; Bromeliaceae. The record is from RNAcentral.
GGUACGUGGCACUUGCUGUACCGGUACACAAUGCAUUUUUUUCAGAUUUUGCAUUGUUUCGGGUUUUCAACGUUCCGAGGUACUUUCUAAUCCAUUAAACUUUGAGUUUAUGAUUCUAAUGCCUAUAACUAAGUAUGAAUCACCAUAACAUGAAUUAAAACUCUACCUUUGCGUCGUGAUUCACAUUGUGAGCAAUUUUCCAAAAUCUUCGAAAUCUUGAAUUAUUCAAUCUUCAUCAAUCCGCUUCGAUCCUUCAAGACUCCGACUCACUUCACGAAACUUGCCAAUACAAAGUUCUUAACAAUCUCCCCCAUUGGCAAUUUCGUGACAAAACUCACAAAACUCAAAAAUACAUAAAAGAAAACCGAAGUUCAAUGUCAUUACCAAAACAAUGAACUCCUCGCGUGUAAUCCAAAUAUAAUUGAGAUUCAAAAUUACAUCAAAAACUCUUAAAACAGACUCUAUGACUUAGACGCAACUAGGAGUCUUGAAGUCUUGAUUUCCUGCAAAACAUUUCAUUCAACAAUGAUUAACCUUAGAUUUUGAUGGUUGUAUCGGUACGUGGCGCUUGCUGUACCAGUACACAAUACAUUUUUUUCAGAUUUUGCAUUGUUUCGGGUUUUCAACGUUCCGAGGCACUUUCUAAUCCAUUAAACUUUGAGUUUAUGAUUCUAAUGCCUAUAACUAAGUAUGAAUCACCAUAACAUGAAUUAAAACUCUACCUUUACGUCGUGAUUCACAUUGUGAGCAAUUUUCUAAAAUCUUCGAAAUCUUGAAUUCUUCAAUCUUCAUCAAUCCGCUUCGAUCCUUCAAGACUCCGACUCACUUCACGAAACUUGCCAAUACAAAGUUCUUAACAAUCUCCCCCUUUGGCAAUUUCGUGACAAAACUGACAAAACUCAAAAAUACAUAAAAGAAAACCGAAGUUCAAUGUCAUCACCAAAACAAU